This 840-nucleotide ribosomal RNA is filed under the name Thaxteriella helicoma. RNAcentral's name for it is "LSU rRNA". It matches the Rfam family "Eukaryotic large subunit ribosomal RNA", at positions 73 to 935 of the family's 3401-position model. The record is from RNAcentral. Lineage: Eukaryota; Fungi; Ascomycota; Dothideomycetes; Tubeufiales; Tubeufiaceae.
UUCGCCUUAGUAACGGCGAGUGAAGCGGCAAUAGCUCAAAUUUGAAAUCUGGCUCUUUCAGAGUCCGAGUUGUAAUUUGUAGAAGAUGCUUCGGCUUACGUAUCGGUCUAAGUUCCUUGGAACAGGACGUCACAGAGGGUGAGAAUCCCGUUUGUGGCCGGUACUUCCGCCAUGUGAAGCUCCUUCGACGAGUCGAGUUGUUUGGGAAUGCAGCUCUAAAUGGGAGGUAAAUUUCUUCUAAAGCUAAAUAUUGGCCAGAGACCGAUAGCGCACAAGUAGAGUGAUCGAAAGAUGAAAAGCACUUUGGAAAGAGAGUUAAAAAGUACGUGAAAUUGUUGAAAGGGAAGCGCUUGCGACCAGACUUGCCUUUAGUUGCUCCGCCGGUCCUUCGACCGGUGUAUUCUUCUAUUGUCAGGCCAGCAUCAGUUUGGGUGGUUGGAUAAAGGCAUCGGGAAUGUGACUCUCUUCGGGGAGUGUUAUAGCCCUUUGUGCAAUACAGCCUACCUAGACUGAGGACCGCGCUUCGGCUAGGAUGCUGGCGUAAUGGUCGUAAGCGGCCCGUCUUGAAACACGGACCAAGGAGUCUAACAUCUAUGCGAGUGUUUGGGUGUCAAACCCGUGCGCGAAAUGAAAGUGAACGGAGGUGGGAACCUUAGGGUGCACCAUCGACCGAUCCUGAUGUCUUCGGAUGGAUUUGAGUAAGAGCAUAGCUGUUGGGACCCGAAAGAUGGUGAACUAUGCCUGAAUAGGGUGAAGCCAGAGGAAACUCUGGUGGAGGCUCGCAGCGGUUCUGACGUGCAAAUCGAUCGUCAAAUUUGGGUAUAGGGGCGAAAGACUAAU